This is a long non-coding RNA of Nannospalax galili (Upper Galilee mountains blind mole rat), 717 nucleotides long. RefSeq lists it as uncharacterized. Lineage: Eukaryota; Metazoa; Chordata; Mammalia; Rodentia; Spalacidae. The transcript is spliced from 3 exons. The record is from RefSeq and is a predicted model, not a curated record.
UCUGACAGAGAAGAGGAACUGUGGACUCUGGUACUACCCUGUACUCCCGCCACUUCCCAAAGGGGAAACGUGAUGAGGCUGGGGUUGGGAUUUUGAGCAGAAGCAUUUAGGCUUUCCAGAAGCUUCUGUCCUGAUGGAGCACUCACCUCAUACUGGCCUGGAGCAGCUGGAAGAUUGUGCCUGAAGGGAGCUGCGGCAAUGGCUGAGGCCCUCCGGCCACCCAGAGAAGAGAGAGGCCUGGACCUGGGGCUGGUGGAGCGAGGCAAGCAGUACAAGUGAGGAAAUCAUGUGAUUUCACUAGCAACGUUGCUUCUCAGAGGGAAUGAACGGUUCUGGGCCAUCCUCAGAUGCCUGGCACACCCUCCUCAAUCCUUUGUCUCACCUGGAGAGGUGUCCAAGCACCAGUAGAGAACUCAGCACGUCCUUUACCCUGUUCCCUGGCCCAGCAGAAAAGUUUGUGUCCGUCCUGUCCAUCUGUGGGUCACUGCCCCCAGCAGCCACAUUCCCCACCCCUGAGACGCCACCCCUAGCCUCUUUCUCUUGCCACAAAGCCUGUUCUUUUCCCAGUCCCAAGCUCCAAGUGGUAAAGGGAGUUAGCAGCAGGCAUUUGAGUCCCACCCUGCUCCUCAGUCACCAUCCCCAUCCCCAGUUCUAGGUACAAAGACAGACUGGCUUGCCAUCAUUCAGACUGUAGGACAAAACCACAAUAAAAUAAAA